Molecule: transfer RNA, 94 nt
Filed under: Aromia moschata
Lineage: Eukaryota; Metazoa; Arthropoda; Insecta; Coleoptera; Cerambycidae
Description: tRNA-OTHER
Source: RNAcentral
GUCGGCGAUAGCUCAGUGGGUAAACCGCCAGAUGAGAAGAUGGCGAUUACUCCGACAGCUAUUAUCCGCGCGGGUUCGAAUCCCGCUUGUGGCA